This 354-nucleotide ribosomal RNA is filed under the name uncultured Streptococcus sp. RNAcentral's name for it is "bacterial SSU rRNA". It matches the Rfam family "Bacterial small subunit ribosomal RNA", at positions 1026 to 1382 of the family's 1533-position model. Lineage: Bacteria; Bacillati; Bacillota; Bacilli; Lactobacillales; Streptococcaceae. The record is from RNAcentral.
CAUCGGUGACAGGUGGUGCAUGGUUGUCGUCAGCUCGUGUCGUGAGAUGUUGGGUUAAGUCCCGCAACGAGCGCAACCCCUAUUGUUAGUUGCCAUCAUUCAGUUGGGCACUCUAGCGAGACUGCCGGUAAUAAACCGGAGGAAGUGGGGAUGACGUCAAAUCACCAUGCCCCUUAUGACCUGGGCUACACACGUGCUACAAUGGUUGGUACAACGAGUUGCGAGUCGGUGACGGCGAGCUAAUCUCUUAAAGCCAAUCUCAGUUCGGAUUGUAGGCUGCAACUCGCCUACAUGAAGUCGGAAUCGCUAGUAAUCGCGGAUCAGCACGCCGCGGUGAAUACGUUCCCGGGCCUU